GACGAACGCUGGCGGCGUGCUUAACACAUGCAAGUCGAGCGGUAAGGCCCUGCGGGGUACACGAGCGGCGAACAAGGGGGUAACAAGAGGGUGAUCUGCUCUGCACUUCGGGAUAAGCAUGGGAAACUGGGUCUGAUAACAGAGCUGGACAUCCUUCUCAUGAUGGGGGGGGGAAAGAUGCACCGGUGCAGGAAGGGCCGGCGGCCUAGAAGCUUGCUGGUGGGGUAAUGGCCUACCAAGGCGACGACGGGUAGACGACCUGGGAGGGUGACCGGCCACACUGGGCCUGAGAAGCGGCCAAGAGUGAUACGGGAGCCAGCGGUGGAGAAUAGUGCACGAUGGGCGGAGGCGUGAUGCAGCAACGCCGCGUGGGGGAUGCCGGUCGUGGGGUUGUAACGCUUUGUCAGCGAGGACGAAGCGCAAGUGACGGUACCGGCAGAAGAAGCACCGGCUAACUACGUG
Molecule: ribosomal RNA, 462 nt
Filed under: uncultured bacterium
Lineage: Bacteria
Description: partial 16S ribosomal RNA
Rfam family: Bacterial small subunit ribosomal RNA
Source: RNAcentral